RNAcentral lists this ribosomal RNA (1410 nucleotides) under Triticum aestivum (bread wheat). RNAcentral's name for it is "partial small subunit ribosomal RNA". The record is from RNAcentral. Lineage: Eukaryota; Viridiplantae; Streptophyta; Magnoliopsida; Poales; Poaceae.
AUGCUGCACGAGCUCGAGCACCCACGGGCAGAGGAGGCUAUCCACGAAUCUGAUCCCGACGAGUGUGUAGUCCAUGUCAAGAAAGCAGAGUUUCACAUGUCAAGAAUGCUGCACGAGCACCCUGCAGAGGAGGCUGAUACCAGCUUGAGCGGAGAGCUGCUAGACCAGUACGAGCACCCUGAUGCAGAGGAGGCCGAUGCUGCCAAGGACAUCCAUGAAUAUGAUCCUGACGAGUGUGUAGUUGAUGUCAAGACAGCAGAGUGGCACAUACAAGAUAGACAUGAAGCGAAACUUUUGAUCGAACAGCUGAAUCAAUCAGGUCUGGGAGAGGAUAUCAGCAAUCAGGAGUUCCUUGCUUACUUUAACAAGCUGGCUCGCAGGCCUCCGUGGUUUAAUCUUAAAGCUGGGCUGGAAGAAAAGGAUCUCGAUCAGCAACUCAUUGACCAUGCACUGUUCCGUUUCAGAUAUUACAAAUACAAGUUGACACAGCCCAAGGAAGAGCUGCAUGCUGGUAACCUUCUUGAGGAAGGAGAGGACGAUAAGGAAGAAAGGGAAUAUUUAGCUAUGUUGAAAGAGAAGCAACUUCUAUACCAUGAGGAAGGUGACACUACAUCGGAAGAGGAUGAAACUGAGGCUGAUAACCUUAUGGAUAAAAAUGAGGCUGAUUUUAAUCUGGAGUUUCUUGAGGAGAACAGAUUUUUCAUUAGCUUUGAAAAAGACGGAACACUCGAUUGGUUUUUCCACCCUGCUUACUGCGAAUGUGCUUCCCUGAGUGACUACGAACGGCUAGUCCUUCAAAAUUAUGGCGGUACUGAGUACACCCGGUGGAGUUACUACCACAGCUACCUUCAUAGCUAUGAUGUUGAACAAGAGUACGUCAAGUACUGUGAGGAAUUAUCCAAGCAACUGAAGUGGAUGGAAGAUUAUAUCGAUAUUGACCCCUCAUCUAUCAAAUGGGAUUACGUAUCUUCCCGGGGAGCUUAUCAAGCAAUUAAGAUUGCUGCUACAAGCUUUCCCAAGAUCACUCCGAUUUUGGCUUACAAUGGCUACGAUGAGUGUAAAGAGAGCAUGGGCUAUCAUCAUAUAUAUUUGAAGGAGUAUGAUGGUUUGUAUUUUGGAUUUGGCAGCGGGUCAAAAAGGGGAUGGUUUCCGUUACGGCAAAGUUUAAUGCAAAUAGCACUGGGCAAUGAGUUCACCAUGACGUCACUGGAAAAGGACUUCCGAACCUGCACGGCAGCCAUUCGACCUGGAGUUGAAGAGGAUGAAGCCAAGGAGUUGAUUGCAGACACAGUAAAAAAGCGGGUUGAUAAGCCAAAGUUCUAUGAUGAUUAUAUCAGAAAAAAGAUAGAGAUCGCACACAUUGUUGGAAUCCUUCCAUCCGAGAAGACCAAGACUGACGCAACAGUAUAA